GGGUUAGUAGGUUGGUCAUGCCUCUGGUAUGCACUGGUCCCACUGAUUCCUCCUUCCUGAUGAGCCGUAAUGCCAUUAAUUCGGUGUUGCAGGGAAUCUGGACUGUUACUUUGAAAAAAUUAGAGUGUUUAAAGUAGGCUAACGCCUGAAUACAUUAGCAUGGAAUAAUGAAAUAGGACGUUCGAUCCUAUUUUGUUGGUUCCUAGGAUUGACGUA
This 216-nucleotide ribosomal RNA is filed under the name Campeiostachys nutans. RNAcentral describes it as "Elymus nutans partial small subunit ribosomal RNA". The stretch from base 87 to 216 matches the Rfam family "Eukaryotic small subunit ribosomal RNA", at positions 733 to 864 of the family's 1831-position model. The record is from RNAcentral. Lineage: Eukaryota; Viridiplantae; Streptophyta; Magnoliopsida; Poales; Poaceae.